GGAGGUUCGUGUUUGAUUUCUGUUAUAUUUUUCUUUGGCUUUAGACUUUGUUUUCAGGAUUUGAUUUUUUUGUUGUUGGAUUAUACGCGCUUCUUGAUUUUGACUGCUCUUGGUGAAAUCUCGAGUGGAGACCUCGUUCGGCCUUCUCUGCGGGGGCUGUCUGGUAAUGGGGAAUGUGCUGGUAUGGAAGACUGACUGAUAGCCACGUCAAAUUGUGUUUUGAGAAUAGUUAUGUACUCUUGAUUGUAUGUUUUGGUAAAAAAAUUAGUUAUUUGGAA
Long non-coding RNA from Olea europaea var. sylvestris, 278 nucleotides. RefSeq lists it as uncharacterized. Lineage: Eukaryota; Viridiplantae; Streptophyta; Magnoliopsida; Lamiales; Oleaceae. The record is from RefSeq and is a predicted model, not a curated record. The transcript has 2 exons.